This 30-nucleotide non-coding RNA is filed under the name Rattus norvegicus (Norway rat). Lineage: Eukaryota; Metazoa; Chordata; Mammalia; Rodentia; Muridae. The record is from RNAcentral.
UCUGACAUAUGGAUGGCUUUUGGUUGGUGU